Mesocricetus auratus (golden hamster) is the source of this 326-nucleotide long non-coding RNA. RefSeq lists it as uncharacterized. The record is from RefSeq and is a predicted model, not a curated record. The transcript is spliced from 3 exons. Lineage: Eukaryota; Metazoa; Chordata; Mammalia; Rodentia; Cricetidae.
CUAAGCCUAGGAUAGGACCGUGUUUCCUUGGGAAGAGCAGCCUGACCAGCCACUGGACCUACACAGAAGGCCCAGACUUAGGACCAACGUCGCUCCGCUCAAGGGCCUUGGAACUGUUAGGUGAUCUAGGAGGUGACCAUUGCUAUGCCAUACACCGGGCUGGCCUGCCUCAAGAUCCGGCAGCUUAACGAGAAUUUCGAUACCAUGCUCUUCCUUCCAGGUGCUCACGGCAGCCAGUAGAAAGAACAGAGCAAAUCCAAGGCCUCACCUGUCCUGACCACCCCAAAGUCAAAUAGCAUCUCCAGGGACAGUCUCUUAGGGAAGUG